UACGGAGGGGGCUAGCGUUGUUCGGAAUUACUGGGCGUAAAGCGCACGUAGGCGGCUUUGCAAGUCAGAGGUGAAAGCCCGGGGCUCAACCCCGGAAUUGCCUUUGAGACUGCAUCGCUAGAAUUGUGGAGAGGUAAGUGGAAUUCCGAGUGUAGAGGUGAAAUUCGUAGAUAUUCGGAGGAACACCAGUGGCGAAGGCGGCUCACUGGUCCGGUACUGACGCUGAGGUGCGAAAGCGUGGGGAGCAAACAGG
This 253-nucleotide ribosomal RNA is filed under the name uncultured bacterium. RNAcentral describes it as "partial 16S ribosomal RNA". It matches the Rfam family "Bacterial small subunit ribosomal RNA", at positions 524 to 776 of the family's 1533-position model. The record is from RNAcentral.